Gallus gallus (chicken) is the source of this 2238-nucleotide long non-coding RNA. RefSeq lists it as uncharacterized. The record is from RefSeq and is a predicted model, not a curated record. The transcript is spliced from 2 exons. Lineage: Eukaryota; Metazoa; Chordata; Aves; Galliformes; Phasianidae.
CCCCUUGCCCCACGCCAUCAUGGGGACGGCUGUGGUCCGCCGAGAGGCCCGGCCCCGCAAGAGCGGUGUGCGAUCCGCUCUGCCCGAGCUGACAUCGGGGCACGGGGAGAGCACAGAGCAGCGCUAACUCAAGUGAUGGCAAAUACCACCAUGGGAGAGGUGCUCCAGCCCUCUGAUGAUCUUAGUGGCCCUCCUCUGGACCUGCUUCAAUAACUCCACAUCUUUUAUGCGUUGGAAGGGAAGAAGGAAGAGCAUGAAACAAAAGUGCCUCAGUGAGUGGCCUACUGUCAGUGGGACGAGCUGGAUUUUGCUGAGCUAUCUUGGAGCACCUCAGUCCUUUUUCUACCACAUGGCCAGUUUGCAGGACUGUGGCAUCUAUGAUGGAAAUGGCACGUUGAGCCCAGGACUCUGCUCAGCAGAUUUCAUGGAUACUUGUAAGGAGCUAGCUGAGUGCUUGGGCAGAAGCAGUCUUGGCCAAAGAGGCUGCAUGGUACUGAAGAUGGUUAGCAUACAGACUGCUGUUGCCUGCAGCAGGCUUUUUACCAGCAUCGUUACACCUCUGGGUGUAAAGUGAAGGAGGAAUCUGGCCCCCUUGCUAGGCUGAUUUUUUGUAAAUGACAAGAUUGAUUCCUAUGCUUGACACAUAACUCUGAUUUCUCUUAGCAGCAAUGUUCUGGCAAGGCAGAAAACACUAGAGGACUUCUCGCAGCCCAGGCAGUGACUGGUGUACCACUUUUCCAUCUUCUCCAAGUAUAACUGCUCUGUUACUCAGCCAUGAAAAGAGCAUCACUCUAGUAAUUAGUAGCUGGUUUUCUUGGCAGAUCAGACAGAUCAACUUCUUAUUUUCAUGAAUAAAGCAGUACAGAUCUGCAAGUUUCUGCAUCCAGUUAAACACUGUCACACAUGGACACAUAGAAUCAUCACAGAAUCAUAGAAUUGCUCAGGUUGGAAAAGACCUUCAGGAUCAUCAAGUCUAACCACAACCAUACUACCCUAACAGCUCACUGCUAAAUCGUGUCCCUGAGGACCACAUGCAACGUCUCUCUCUAUACUGCAUACUCCCACUUACGCACUGCAAGAUUGGCAGCUCUCAAAGAACUCACAGGGACUAUGCCAUAUAUUUAAUCAGCAAUCUUAAAGCUAAGAAUCCUAUUAAGUAAAAUGUGUGUGAAGAAGUUCACUCUAAUCUCUUGUGAACUGUCUCAGUCACAAAAUAAUGAUGAGCAAGGCAGAAGAAUGCAUUUUACCUUUGGGAGAAAUAAAUGCGUGUUUGCCCUCUAAAGCCUAGCAAAACUCCACACUACCCUCCACAUAAAAUUCAUUUGUAUGGCUAGGGACAACUUGCAGAACACAGUUGUAUUUCUCUGUAGCGUUCUGUUGCUACCAGUGCGUUUCAUCAAUGUAUAUUUUUUUCUACAUAAAGAUGCGUAAAGAAAUUGUAUACAACAUCUUGGGUGGGGAGAGCAGCACUCUCUGGUCCUGCUGUGGACAGGCUGUACUGAUUUACAGGAGCCCUGGCUGCCUUGGGAGGCCCAGUGCUGCUACUGGGUAGGUUCUGGUAGGAAUGACUCUGAAACAGAGGGAAAAUGGACCCUCAUCUCUGAGCCCCAGUUGCGCAGUGCUCUUUGGAAUGAACACACUGCAGCUAUUGUGGAGAUCCAAGACCUGACCUGUGUACACAGUUCCUGAGCUGCCAACCCCACAAAAUCACUGCUCUCCACUGCAGCCAGUGAAGAAGGCAAUGUUAUGAAACCAAGCGAAACAAUAGCAAACAAGAAGAGAAACCACUCUGCCUACCACUGAUCUGUCAUUUUCUUUGCUUCUUGCAGAAGAUGAUACACAGUGGUCUUGCUGCACCCAAAGGCUGUCUCUCUCUGGAGAGCACCAAAAGCUCAUGUUCCCCAGUUACACCUGGAAUUAAGGUGAAGAGAAAAACUGCAGGUUGGUUGGGGCAUGGUAGCUGUUAAAACAAGGUGCGGUGGGUGAGUGGGAUGGCCUGAAGGUUUGUCAGGCUGAAACUUCAGCUUUCAAAUAGAUGGGAUGAAGUCUGAGGCAUCAUCGGGCCUUGGGAAAGCAAAACUUGACUUUUCAGAGUUAAAAUGAAGUUUUAACAGACGAGAGACAUAGAGGAGGAAUUUCCUUGCUUGAGGACGUUUCCAGAGCAGCACCUUGAUUUCCCAGUUCUCUCUUGGAUACAAUGAUGAUCCUAAAGCAAAAUAAAUUGUAUUUGAUGAGAAA